AUGAAUGAGGUUUAUUUAUUAGGAUGGCGAAAUAAAAAGGAGGGUUCCUGAUUUUCAUCGUAAGAGAAGGAAAGCAGAUAUAAUCUCCUUGUGUGAUCUUUGUUUUUUUGAGAUGGACUAGUAAAUAAUCAUGGAAAAGGGCCAGCUU
Long non-coding RNA from Telopea speciosissima, 148 nucleotides. RefSeq lists it as uncharacterized. The record is from RefSeq and is a predicted model, not a curated record. Lineage: Eukaryota; Viridiplantae; Streptophyta; Magnoliopsida; Proteales; Proteaceae. The transcript is spliced from 2 exons.